RNAcentral lists this ribosomal RNA (786 nucleotides) under gamma proteobacterium H14. RNAcentral's name for it is "bacterial SSU rRNA". It matches the Rfam family "Bacterial small subunit ribosomal RNA", at positions 39 to 812 of the family's 1533-position model. Lineage: Bacteria; Pseudomonadati; Pseudomonadota; Gammaproteobacteria. The record is from RNAcentral.
GCGGCAGGCUUAACACAUGCAAGUCGAGCGGAAACGAGAAUAGCUUGCUAUUCGGCGUCGAGCGGCGGACGGGUGAGUAAUGCUUGGGAAUAUGCCUUUGAGUGGGGGACAACAGUUGGAAACGACUGCUAAUACCGCAUAACGUCUACGGACCAAAGGGGGGGACGCUUCGGCACCUCUCGCUCAUUGAUUAGCCCAAGUGAGAUUAGCUAGUUGGUAAGGUAAUGGCUUACCAAGGCGACGACUCUCUAGCUGGUUUGAGAGGAUGAUCAGCCACACUGGGACUGAGACACGSCCCAGACUCCUACGGGAGGCAGCAGUGGGGAAUAUUGCACAAUGGGCGAAAGCCUGAUGCAGCCAUGCCGCGUGUGUGAAGAAGSCCUUCGGGUUGUAAAGCACUUUCAGCGAGGAGGAAAGGUUAGUAGUUAAUAACUGCUAGCUGUGACGUUACUCGCAGAAGAAGCACCGGCUAACUUCGUGCCAGCAGCCGCGGUAAUACGAGGGGUGCAAGCGUUAAUCGGAAUUACUGGGCGUAAAGCGUGCGUAGGUGGUUUGUUAAGCAAGAUGUGAAAGCCCUGGGCUCAACCUGGGAACUGCAUUUUGAACUGGCAAGCUAGAGUUUUGUAGAGGGUAGUGGAAUUUCCAGUGUAGCGGUGAAAUGGCGUAGAGAUUGGAAGGAACAUCAGUGGCGAAGGCGGCUACCUGGACAAAGACUGACACUGAGGCACGAAAGCGUGGGGAGCAAACAGGAUUAGAUACCCUGGUAGUCCACGCCGUAAACGAUGU